This 2732-nucleotide ribosomal RNA is filed under the name Escherichia coli. Its description in RNAcentral is "23S ribosomal RNA". It matches the Rfam family "Bacterial large subunit ribosomal RNA". The record is from RNAcentral. Lineage: Bacteria; Pseudomonadati; Pseudomonadota; Gammaproteobacteria; Enterobacterales; Enterobacteriaceae.
GGGUUGUGAGGUUAAGCGACUAAGCGUACACGGUGGAUGCCCUGGCAGUCAGAGGCGAUGAAGGACGUGCCAAUCUGCGAUAAGCGUCGGUAAGGGUGAUAUGAACCGUUAUAACCUAGGCGAUUUCGAAUGGGGAACCGCAGUGUUUCACGCACCAUCAUUAACUGAACUGGCGGUUAAUGAGGGCGAACCGGUAAACCUGGUUGAUUCAUACCCCGAGGAAAAGAAAUCAAACCGAGAUUCCCCAGUAGCGGCGAGCGAACGGGGAGCAGCCCAGAGCCUGAAUCAGUGUGUGUGUUAGUGGAAGCGUCUGGAAAGGCGCGCGAUACAGGGUGACAGCCCCGUACACAAAAAUGCACACGCUCUGUAUUUAUUGAGCAGGCGACACGUGGUAUCCUGUCUGAAUAUGGGGGGACCAUCCUCCAAGGCUAAAUACUCCUGACUGACCGAUAGUGAACCAGUACCGUGAGGGAAAGCGAAAGAACCCCCGGCGAGGGAGUGAAAAGAACCUGAAACCGUGUACGUACAAGCAGUGGGAGCACGCUUAGGCGUGUGACUGCGUACCUUUUGUAUAAUGGGUCAGCGACUUAUAUUCUGUAGCAAGGUUAACCGAAUAGGGGAGCCGAAGGGAAACCGAGUCUUAACUGGGCGUUAAGUUGCAGGGUAACCCUGAAACCCGGUGAUCUAGCCACAUCCCGACUUACCAACCCGAUGCAAACUGCGAAUACCGGAGAAUGUUAUCACGGGAGACACACGGCGGGUGCUAACGUCCGUCGUGAAGAGGGAAACAACCCAGACCGCCAGCUAAGGUCCCAAAGUCAUGGUUAAGUGGGAAACGAUGUGGGAAGGCCCAGACAGCCAGGAUGUUGGCUUCAGGCUGCUUGCCAUCAUUUAAAGAAAGCGUAAUAGCUCACUGGUCGAGUCGGCCUGCGCGGAAGAUGUAACGGGGCUAAACCAUGCACCGAAGCUGCGGCAGCGACACUAUGUGUUGUUGGGUAGGGGAGCGUUCUGUAAGCCUGUGAAGGUGUACUGUGAGGUAUGCUGGAGGUAUCAGAAGUGCGAAUGCUGACAUAAGUAACGAUAAAGCGGGUGAAAAGCCCGCUCGCCGGAAGACCAAGGGUUCCUGUCCAACGUUAAUCGGGGCAGGGUGAGUCGACCCCUAAGGCGAGGCCGAAAGGCGUAGUCGAUGGGAAACAGGUUAAUAUUCCUGUACUUGGUGUUACUGCGAAGGGGGGACGGAGAAGGCUAUGUUGGCCGGGCGACGGUUGUCCCGGUUUAAGCGUGUAGGCUGGUUUUCCAGGCAAAUCCGGAAAAUCAAGGCUGAGGCGUGAUGACGAGGCACUACGGUGCUGAAGCAACAAAUGCCCUGCUUCCAGGAAAAGCCUCUAAGCAUCAGGUAACAUCAAAUCGUACCCCAAACCGACACAGGUGGUCAGGUAGAGAAUACCAAGGCGCUUGAGAGAACUCGGGUGAAGGAACUAGGCAAAAUGGUGCCGUAACUUCGGGAGAAGGCACGCUGAUAUGUAGGUGAAGUCCCUCGCGGAUGGAGCUGAAAUCAGUCGAAGAUACCAGCUGGCCGUGGGUAACUGUUUAUUAAAACACGUACCCAGCAAACACGAAAGUGGACGGCUUUGCGCGGUGUGACGCCUGCCCGGUGCCGGAAGGUUAAUUGAUGGGGUUAGCGCAAGCGAAGCUCUUGAUCGAAGCCCGGUAAACGGCGGCUGCAACUAACGGUCCUAAGGUAGCGAAAUUCCUUGUCGGGUAAGUUCCGACCUGCACGAAUGGCGUAAUGAUGGCCAGGCUGUCUCCACCCGAGACUCAGUGAAAUUGAACUCGCUGUGAAGAUGCAGUGUACCCGCGGCAAGACGGAAAGACCCCGUGAACCUUUACUAUAGCUUGACACUGAACAUUGAGCCUUGAUGUGUAGGGAUAGGUGGAGGCUUCCUUUGAAGUGUGGACGCCAGUCCGUAUGGAGCCGACCUUGAAAUACCACCCUUUAAUGUUUGAUGUUCUAACGUGGACCCGUAAUCCGGGUUGCGGACAGUGUCUGGUGGGUAGUUUGACUGGGGCGGUCUCCUCCUAAAGAGUAACGGAGGAGCACGAAGGUUGGCUAAUCCUGGUCGGACAUCAGGAGGUUAGUGCAAUGGCAUAAGCCAGCUUGACUGCGAGCGUGACGGCGCGAGCAGGUGCGAAAGCAGGUCAUAGUGAUCCGGUGGUUCUGAAUGGAAGGGCCAUCGCUCAACGGAUAAAAGGUACUCCGGGGAUAACAGGCUGAUACCGCCCAAGAGUUCAUAUCGACGGCGGUGUUUGGCACCUCGAUGUCGGCUCAUCACAUCCUGGGGCUGAAGUAGGUCCCAAGGGUAUGGCUGUUCGCCAUUUAAAGUGGUACGCGAGCUGGGUUUAGAACGUCGUGAGACAGUUCGGUCCCUAUCUGCCGUGGGCGCUGGAGAAUUGAGGGGGGCUGCUCCUAGUACGAGAGGACCGGAGUGGACGCAUCACUGGUGUUCGGGUUGUCAUGCCAAUGGCACUGCCCGGUAGCUAAAUGCGGAAGAGAUAAGUGCUGAAAGCAUCUAAGCACGAAACUUGCCCCGAGAUGAGUUCUCCCUGACUCCUUGAGAGUCCUGAAGGAACGUUGAAGACGACGACGUUGAUAGGCCGGGUGUGUAAGCGCAGCGAUGCGUUGAGCUAACCGGUACUAAUGAACCGUGAGGCUUAACCUUACAACGCCGAAG